This 74-nucleotide transfer RNA is filed under the name Acheilognathus majusculus. Its description in RNAcentral is "partial tRNA-Leu". It matches the Rfam family "tRNA", at positions 5 to 66 of the family's 71-position model. From Rfam's summary of the family: Transfer RNA (tRNA) molecules are approximately 80 nucleotides in length. Their secondary structure includes four short double-helical elements and three loops (D, anti-codon, and T loops). The record is from RNAcentral. Lineage: Eukaryota; Metazoa; Chordata; Actinopteri; Cypriniformes; Acheilognathidae.
AUUGGGGUGGCAGAGCAUGGUAAAUUGCGAAAGAUUUAAGCCCUUUAAGUGAGAGGUUUAAAUCCUCUUCCGUC